RNAcentral lists this ribosomal RNA (264 nucleotides) under uncultured bacterium. Its description in RNAcentral is "partial 16S ribosomal RNA". It matches the Rfam family "Bacterial small subunit ribosomal RNA", at positions 524 to 783 of the family's 1533-position model. The record is from RNAcentral.
UACGUAGGGUGCAAGCGUUAAUCGGAAUUACUGGGCGUAAAGCGUGCGCAGGCGGUUUUGUAAGUCUGUCGUGAAAUCCCCGGGCUCAACCUGGGAAUUGCGAUGGAGACUGCAAGGCUAGAAUCUGGCAGAGGGGGGUAGAAUUCCACGUGUGAGCAGUGAAAUGCGUAGAGAUGUGGAGGAACACCGAUGGCGAAGGCAGCCCCCUGGGUCAAGAUUGACGCUCAUGCACAGAAGGCGGUGGGAGCAAACGAAGGAUUAGUA